This 250-nucleotide long non-coding RNA is filed under the name Elaeis guineensis (African oil palm). RNAcentral's name for it is "long non-coding RNA (EGUI_LNC047720)". The record is from RNAcentral. Lineage: Eukaryota; Viridiplantae; Streptophyta; Magnoliopsida; Arecales; Arecaceae.
AGACGGAAAUCAUCUGCUGUAGAAGCCCGGACGGGUACUUUCUGUUGGAAAAAUCCGGCUGGAGUCUGAUUGCUAGAGAGAUCCGUUUGAAAUUUGUUUGGUGUAGAAGCUUGUCUGAAGACUGUUCGCUGGAGAGGUCUGGUUGCAUGAGGAAUUCGAUAGAAGGUCGGCCGAUAGCAAAAUUCGAAAGGUGUUAUAGAAGGUUGACCGAUAGAAGAGUUCGGAAGGUGUUGUGGAAGUUCGUCCGCUG